GUUUGGAAAUUUAUGCAGGGGACUUUGCAAAUGAUGCUUUACUUAGCUACAAUUACAGCUAUGAUCCAGUAGCCGAAUCUCUCUCCUAUGUUGACAAUGGUGUUUUUUCCGUUGAUGGCAUUGUGUCAGACUUCCCUAUAACUCCAUCAGAGGCCAUAGGUUGCUUCUCUCACGUGCGGAAAAACAACACUGACCAUGGAAAGCCUUUAAUUAUCUCACACAAUGGGGCUAGUGGAAUCUACCCUGAUUGCACUGACCUGGCUUAUCAGCAAGCUGUUCAAGAUGGUGCAGACUUUAUUGAUUGUCCGGUUCAAGUAACAAAAGAUAAUGUUCUCGUAUGCAUGAGUGACAUAAACCUCAUGAUUGAUACCACAGUUACAAAAUCUUCCUUCGCUUCUCUGAUUUCAACUAUCCCAGAGAU
This 421-nucleotide unclassified non-coding RNA is filed under the name Hevea brasiliensis (rubber tree). Lineage: Eukaryota; Viridiplantae; Streptophyta; Magnoliopsida; Malpighiales; Euphorbiaceae. The record is from RNAcentral.